CUUCAUGCUGGCUGGCCCGAAACUCAGUGUUUAUAAUUAUCUGGGCAUUACUUUUUUGUUGUGAUAAUUUAAAAUCAAUUUUUCAACUCUUCCUCGUUUAUGGUCCUUAUUUUAUACCCACUUUGAAGGAAAUCUAAGCCUCUUCAUUCUUAUGAAAGAAUCGAUAAGUGCACUUAGAAACUGCAACUAGUUUCGCAACGACAAUUCGAAAUUCUUCUGAAAAGACGGGCAUUUCAUGCAGUUUCUGAUGAACUUCUUUACGAAGUGCUUGGUUUGCUGGGAUCCUCACGGAAAAAUGAAAGCUACUAGCACUCUGUGAUUCAACUGAUUUUUCCGCACUAGAUCAGUUAUUAACAGAGAUUUAGCAGCAAAAUCACAUCAUCAAGUUCUUGAAAAUCUACCUUAAAAUUUAUUGGAAGAUUGACAGAAAA
Molecule: non-coding RNA, 431 nt
Organism: Bemisia tabaci
Lineage: Eukaryota; Metazoa; Arthropoda; Insecta; Hemiptera; Aleyrodidae
Source: RefSeq, a predicted model, not a curated record